CUUCCCAUCUGACUACUGCUUUUUCUCCUAGUAGGAGAAAAUACUGGCUAUGCUUGUGGGAUAGAGUAAAAUUGCCAUGAUCUGCAGAGGCAGGAUUUCUUUGUGUUCUUCUCCUAAUGAAAUGGCUGAACAGAAGAAA
Sorex fumeus (smoky shrew) is the source of this 139-nucleotide small nucleolar RNA. RefSeq annotates it as small nucleolar RNA SNORA29. The record is from RefSeq and is a predicted model, not a curated record. The transcript has a single exon. Lineage: Eukaryota; Metazoa; Chordata; Mammalia; Eulipotyphla; Soricidae.